Molecule: ribosomal RNA, 486 nt
Filed under: uncultured bacterium
Lineage: Bacteria
Description: partial 16S ribosomal RNA
Rfam family: Bacterial small subunit ribosomal RNA
Source: RNAcentral
AUUGAACGCUGGCGGCAUGCCUUACACAUGCAAGUCGAACGGCAGCACGGGUGCUUGCACCUGGUGGCGAGUGGCGAACGGGUGAGUAAUACAUCGGAACACGUCCUGUAGUGGGGGAUAGCCCGGCGAAAGCCGGAUUAAUACCGCAUACGAUCUACGGCUGAAAGCGGGGGACCUUCGGGCCUCGCGCUAUAGGGUUGGCUGAUGGCUGUUUAGCUAGUUGGUGGGGUAAAGGCCUACCAAGGCGACGAUCAGUAGCUGGUCUGAGAGGACGACCAGCCACACUGGGACUGAGACACGGCCCAGACGCCUACGGGAGGCAGCAGUGGGGAAUUUUGGACAAUGGGCGAAAGCCUGAUCCAGCAAUGCCGCGUGUGUGAAGAAGGCCUUCGGGUUGUAAAGCACUUUUGUCCGGAAAGAAAACCUUGGCCCUAAUACGGUCGGGGGAUGACGGUACCGGAAGAAUAAGCACCGGCUAACUACGUG